GCAAAACCGAUGAGAAAGAGAAGUAAGUUUUAAGAGAUAUCACAGAGAGCAGCAGUGGGUGAGAUUGCUGUAUGGAUUUUAAUUCUGAAUGGACUUUCGAGGGCGGCCUGAAAUGAGAAGAGUAGGCGCCGUCGGGAACCAAACCCGUUAUCAAUCAGGAACGUAUGUAGUACGUGAUAAAGUGGACAAUUCGUCAAUUUGAGUGGUACCGCGAUAAUAAAACUGUAUUUUAUUACCGUCUCAAGC
This 246-nucleotide non-coding RNA is filed under the name Clostridium sp. RNAcentral's name for it is "T-box sequence". It matches the Rfam family "T-box leader". Rfam says of the family: Uncharged tRNA acts as the effector for transcription antitermination of genes in the T-box leader family. T-boxes are found upstream of many aminoacyl-tRNA synthetase genes and some amino acid biosynthetic genes usually in Gram-positive bacteria. The anticodon of a specific tRNA base pairs to a specifier sequence within the T-box motif, and the NCCA acceptor tail of the tRNA base pairs to a conserved bulge in the T-box antiterminator hairpin. The record is from RNAcentral. Lineage: Bacteria; Bacillati; Bacillota; Clostridia; Eubacteriales; Clostridiaceae.